This 1175-nucleotide unclassified non-coding RNA is filed under the name Hevea brasiliensis (rubber tree). Lineage: Eukaryota; Viridiplantae; Streptophyta; Magnoliopsida; Malpighiales; Euphorbiaceae. The record is from RNAcentral.
GUGGUGAAGAUCUUUCGUGAAAAAUUGACUCUUCAUGAUGAGGUGUUCCUCCAUUGGCGUUCAAGAAUUCUACUUCUUUGAACACAUCUCCAAUGCAGGCACCCUUCUGAAGCUUUGCCAUGGCCGAUUUAAUGUGACGCAGCAACUGUUUUGCAUUUGUUCUCCGCGAGCCACGUAUAAUGCAAAAGCCAACAUUCAAAAUCUUCUCGACGUCAUCUCGAGAAUCAAUUGAUCCACAAAUUUUUAGAAGCUUCAUGACAUGUGAGACCAAUUCAGUCCUUGAAUCACAGCGCCGACAACAAUAUUCCGCAUCCAAGCCAACGCUUCCUCCAACUGUCCCAGCCAUAUAAGCUCGUAACGCACAGUCUAUAUGGGCUAUGUGUCCACAAAUGUAACCAUCAUCAGCUUUUGCUUCGCACCUAAUGUAACUAUACCCACCAUAAGCAGAACUAAUAGUUUUACAACAAAGAAUACAACAGCAAUCUCGGCAAAAACUAGGCUCACUGCAACAUAUGUCACAAAUCAUGGUCUCUGGACUAGGAUUCCCUGCUUCUAUUAAACUCGCACUCGCACACAAGCUAUUACCAGCCUUACACGUAAUGGUUCCUAAAUGAGAAUCAGAUUUCAUGACUGAAGAUGUGAGCUGAGCAUACCAGUCACCUUUUAAUAGUUUUGAGGGAAUCUUCCAACUAAAUGAGGCAAAGAAUUCAUUGAUAUCUGUGCUUGGAAACUCAGACCUGACAUAUUGUUCAACCGAAAGCCUACUUGCGAAAACACCUCGCUUUCCACGAAGACGGUUUGGAAGAUACAGAUAUCUAUCAAGAAAGUAGCCAGCAGAUGCAAUUCUUUUCCCCACCUUCCAGGCCCAUUUAUCACCUGGGUUCGGCCAAUCUGCAGGAGCAUAUGGUAAACCUUCGCCUGAAUCAUUGGCAGAAACAGGAUAAAGGUGAAGUUCACUUUUAUUGGUACUACGUGUAUCUCCAUUACAUUCAGCAGAACUGUCAACCUCCACAGGAUCCUCGUAGGAUGACAUGUAGCUAGAUGUUUCAAUUCUUCGUUUUCCGGCGACUGCUUGUGAUAUCUCAGCCACUUCUUCUCCUUUUUUCCGGCGACUACUUGUGAUAUCUCAACCACUUCUGCGUUUUCCGGCGAUUGCUUGCUAUGUCUCAGUCAGC